Long non-coding RNA from Homo sapiens (human), 1664 nucleotides. The record is from Ensembl. NCBI's taxonomy places the organism in Eukaryota, Metazoa, Chordata, Mammalia, Primates, Hominidae.
GGCCUGCGCAUGCGCGCGCCCCAGGGCCCAGCCCUGUUCCUGCUCCGGCUCCUGCGGGGAUGGAUGCUUCACGCAGUAAGCGACCUAAGUCGCGGAAGCGUAGACACCCGGCUUUUCCCGCGUGCUCUAUCGGGCUCCCCUGGACACGGAGGGUGGAGCAGAAAGAGCAGAGGGGCCGGUGGGAGCCAUGGGGAGUCCGCCUAGCUCCAGAGGACACCUUACCUGGAUCCGCCUUUGUAGCCUCCUCCUGGCUCUGGGGGCUGUCCUGUGGGGUCCGAGUAGCUGAAAGACAGCCCCUCCAUGAAAGUGCUGCUUUCAACAUCUGCCACAUUUGCAAGAAGAGCAAAGGUGGCCCAUUUGAGACCACCCUUGAACUAAACCAUCCAGUGAGCCCCUGAGGUCGGGACAGAAGUGGCCAUGACCUUCCUCAAGCAGGGACUGUGGUGGAGCCCACCUUAUCCAGCACAAGGUGGCCUGCUGACUUCUGGUGACAGUGAUGCCAACUUCCUGGCUGUCCAAGGUUCAAAUCUUGGUCUUAAUCCUCCUGGCCUUCUCUCAUCAAUGGCCAGAGCCACCCUAGCUAACAAGGUGCCCAGGGACUCCGGGGUGGGAGAAGUCCAGCUUCUUCUUAGCUGAGGACAUUUGAGUCUCGUCACAGCCCCCAAAAGAAUACUCAUUUUUGUAGCUGGAGGGCCUGGCCUCUGUCUAUCUUUGCUUUUCCAGAAGCUGACAAGUACCUGCCGGAAAAACUGCCUCUUUUCCCUCCCGUGCUUGGAGCAGGCAUUGCUGACAGAUCACAGCUGCUGGGCCCAAAGGUCCCUUUGCACGCGGGACUUCAGGAAGUUGCUGCUGACCUAUGGGAGUUGGUGCAGAAAGAUGAAAUUUGUUAUCCUUGGCUGUAUCAACUCUCUCUCCUCUCCUUGGUGGUGAUAGUUUUGUUCUUAAAAGCCUCUUGUGAGAGAAUUUGUGGAUGAAGAACCUGUAAGAUCACAAGUGAAACAAUUUAUUGAUGUCAAUAGAUUUAUACACGUUCAUUAAGAAUCAAAACUAAACUAAAACAUCAGUCUGACUAAAGAGACCACCACAGAUAUUUCAUAUGCUGUACAUCAGUAACAAAGGGUACCAAAUAGUUAAUAUCCAUGUACUAGUCACAUGAGAAAUGUUUUAGGGUCAUUGACCAGUGUAGUCAGUACAGUGGUCCCAUGGUAUUUGUGGGGGAUUGGUUCCAGGAAUCUCUUGGACACCAACUCCGUGGAUGAUCAGACAAUAUAAAAUGUGGGUCAGGUGCGGUGGCUCAUACCUGUAAUCCCAGCAUUUUGCGAGAAUCACUUGAGGCCAGUUCAAGAUCAGCCUGUGCAACAUAGCAAGACUCCACCUCUAAAAAAAAAAAAAAAAAAAAAAAUUAGCCCAGUGCAGCGGUGUGCACCUGUAGUCCCAGCUUCUCAUGAGGUUGAGGUGAAAAGAUCACUUGGGCCCAGGAGUUUGAGGCUGCAGUGAGCUGUGACUGCCACUGCACUCCAGCCUGAGUGACAAAGCAAGUCCCUGUCUCUUAAAAAAUAAAAUAAAAUAAUAGCAUUUGAAUGUAACCUACACACAUCUCCCAUAUACUUUAAAUCAUCUGUAGAUUGCUUAUAAUACCUAAUACACUGUAAAUGCUAUGUAAA